UACGUAGGGACCAAGCGUUGUUCGGAUUUACUGGGCGUAAAGCGCACGUAGGCGGAUUGCUAAGUCAGGGGUGAAAUCCUGGAGCUCAACUCCAGAACUGCCUUUGAUACUGGCGACCUUGAGUCCGGGAGAGGUGAGUGGAACUGCGAGUGUAGAGGUGAAAUUCGUAGAUAUUCGCAAGAACACCAGGGGCGAAGGCGGCUCACUGGCCCGGUACUGACGCUGAGGUGCGAAAGCGUGGGGAGCAAACAGG
RNAcentral lists this ribosomal RNA (253 nucleotides) under uncultured bacterium. Its description in RNAcentral is "partial 16S ribosomal RNA". It matches the Rfam family "Bacterial small subunit ribosomal RNA", at positions 524 to 776 of the family's 1533-position model. The record is from RNAcentral.